AGAGUUUGAUCCUGGCUCAGGAUGAACGUUGGCAGUGUGCCUAAGACAUGCAAGUCGAACGAAGCGCUAGUGCGGAACUCUUCGGAGGGAAGGAUUAGUGACUGAGUGGCAAACGGGUGAGUAACACGUGGAUGACCUACCCUGAAGUGGGGGAUAACCUUGGGAAACCAGGACUAAUCCCGCAUGUGCUUGUUGGUUGUGACUAACAAGGAAAGAUUUAUCGCUUUAGGAUGGGUCCGCGAGCCAUCAGCUAGUUGGUGAGGUAAAGGCUCACCAAGGCAACGACGGCUAGCCGGCCUGAGAGGGUGAACGGCCACAGGGGUACUGAGACACGGACCCCACUCCUACGGGAGGCAGCAGUUAGGAAUCUUCCACAAUGGGCGCAAGCCUGAUGGAGCGACACUGCGUGAGGGAAGAAGGCUUUCGGGUUGUAAACCUCUAAAAGUAGGACGAUAAUGACGGUACUACUUGAGAAGCACCGGCUAACUCCGUGCCAGCAGCCGCGGUAAUACGGAGGGUGCAAACGUUAUCCGGAAUCACUGGGCGUAAAGGGCACGCAGGCGGUUAGUUAAGUCCGAUGUUAAAGCGUGGGGCUCAACCCCAUACGGGCGUUGGAUACUGGCUAACUAGACUCUUGGAGAGGUAAGUAGAAUUACCAGUGUAGCGGUGGAAUGCGUAGAUACUGGUAGGAAUACCAAUAGCGAA
Molecule: ribosomal RNA, 705 nt
Filed under: uncultured bacterium
Lineage: Bacteria
Description: bacterial SSU rRNA
Rfam family: Bacterial small subunit ribosomal RNA
Source: RNAcentral